RNAcentral lists this transfer RNA (71 nucleotides) under Candidatus Sungbacteria bacterium RIFCSPHIGHO2_02_FULL_47_11. Its description in RNAcentral is "tRNA-Thr". It matches the Rfam family "tRNA". Rfam says of the family: Transfer RNA (tRNA) molecules are approximately 80 nucleotides in length. Their secondary structure includes four short double-helical elements and three loops (D, anti-codon, and T loops). Further hydrogen bonds mediate the characteristic L-shaped molecular structure. tRNAs have two regions of fundamental functional importance: the anti-codon, which is responsible for specific mRNA codon recognition, and the 3' end, to which the tRNAs corresponding amino acid is attached (by aminoacyl-tRNA synthetases). tRNAs cope with the degeneracy of the genetic code in two manners: having more than one tRNA (with a specific anti-codon) for a particular amino acid; and 'wobble' base-pairing, i.e. permitting non-standard base-pairing at the 3rd anti-codon position. Lineage: Bacteria; Candidatus Sungiibacteriota. The record is from RNAcentral.
GCCCGAGUAGUUCAACGGCAGAACAAAUCCAUGGUAAGGAUUAAACGAGAGUUCGACUCCCUCCUCGGGCU